UUGUUUGUGGUGCAAAUUAACUGAUUAAUACUACAGUUCAAUCUGCAAAUCAAGCCCUUUAUUUUGGACCUCUUAGGCUUCACGUGGAGCUAAAAAGAGCCUUUAAAGUUGAAAAAUGUUACAAAAAAAAUGUGUGAUGUCAUAUUCUAGUUCUCUAGUGUCUAAUAUCUUUAUCAUGGGUCAAGAGUGUGCAAGUAUACAGUAUAUCUGUUCGUAGUU
This 219-nucleotide long non-coding RNA is filed under the name Vigna radiata. RNAcentral describes it as "long non-coding RNA (VRAD_LNC015210)". The record is from RNAcentral. Lineage: Eukaryota; Viridiplantae; Streptophyta; Magnoliopsida; Fabales; Fabaceae.